This 214-nucleotide long non-coding RNA is filed under the name Glycine max (soybean). RNAcentral describes it as "long non-coding RNA (GMAX_LNC000577)". Lineage: Eukaryota; Viridiplantae; Streptophyta; Magnoliopsida; Fabales; Fabaceae. The record is from RNAcentral.
GCACCGUUUGCAUCUCACAAGAUGCUCUUUGUGUUCCUGUGGGUGGCCACGGUGUUGGUGUUGGUGUCGCAGAGGAGCACGAUCAGAGGGUUCUGGUGUUGGGCGGCGUGCCGGUGAGGCUACCGUCGAGCUACGGCCGAUGGUGUUCUAUCUGACGGAGUUCGACAUCGGCGUUAUUCUCAACACUGAAUGUGCCACCUGGGCGUUGGUUUAC